UACAGAGGGUGCGAGCGUUAAUCGGAAUUACUGGGCGUAAAGCGUGCGCAGGCGGUUGUGCAAGACCGAUGUGAAAUCCCCGGGCUUAACCUGGGAAUGGCAUUGGUGACUGUACGGCUAGAGUGUGUCAGAGGGGGGUAGAAUUCCACGUGUAGCAGUGAAAUGCGUAGAGAUGUGGAGGAACACCGAUGGCGAAGGCAGCCUCCUGGGCCAGCACUGACGCUCAUGCACGAAAGCGUGGGGAGCAAACAGG
This 253-nucleotide ribosomal RNA is filed under the name uncultured bacterium. Its description in RNAcentral is "partial 16S ribosomal RNA". It matches the Rfam family "Bacterial small subunit ribosomal RNA", at positions 524 to 776 of the family's 1533-position model. The record is from RNAcentral.